This 460-nucleotide ribosomal RNA is filed under the name uncultured Streptococcus sp. RNAcentral describes it as "bacterial SSU rRNA". It matches the Rfam family "Bacterial small subunit ribosomal RNA", at positions 921 to 1382 of the family's 1533-position model. Lineage: Bacteria; Bacillati; Bacillota; Bacilli; Lactobacillales; Streptococcaceae. The record is from RNAcentral.
CCGCACAAGCGGUGGAGCAUGUGGUUAAUUCGACGCAACGCGAAGAACCUUACCAGGGCUUGACAUCCCCUGACCGCGUAUGAAAGUACGUUUUCACCCUCGGGUGACAGGGAGACAGGUGGUGCAUGGUUGUCGUCAGCUCGUGUCGUGAGAUGUUGGGUUAAGUCCCGCAACGAGCGCAACCCCUAUUGUUAGUUGCCAUCAUUCAGUUGGGCACUCUAGCGAGACUGCCGGUAAUAAACCGGAGGAAGGUGGGAUGACGUCAAAUCAUCAUGCCCCUUAUGACCUGGGCUACACACGUGCUACAAUGGUUGGUACAACGAGUUGCGAGUCGGUGACGGCGAGCUAAUCUCUUAAAGCCAAUCUCAGUUCGGAUUGUAGGCUGCAACUCGCCUACAUGAAGUCGGAAUCGCUAGUAAUCGCGGAUCAGCACGCCGCGGUGAAUACGUUCCCGGGCCUU